ACUUACGCUAGCCAUGGGAUGAUUAGAACAAGAUAAGAGACAUGAGGAAGACUUCUUCAAGGAGGUGCUCAAGCCAUGUUUUGGAAAAGAGAACUCAAGGUCUGGCAGGGAGAAAGGAGCAAGAAAAAUGCAUGCUCCAGAAGUCCAGGCUGACCCAAUACCGGAGUAGACUUUGAGUCUUUGCUUCAGAUGCAGAUCAAGAUGUGGCAACCUGUUGUGGAGAACUGGGUCCCUUGAGCCUGUGCUGUCUCUUUUUUUCUGGUGGCUUUGUCAUUUGGAACAAUGCAUAAUGGGCUGGAGGCUGAGAAACUCUGAGCUGAGGUGACACAAGGAUGACAGGAACAGUUAUCAGGGAAGCACACUGAUCGACUGAGCUGCCUGCUCCUGGCCUUCUGGAUCCUCCUCAGUUCCUGCUUAUCUCUAGGCCAGGCUCUCAACUCUGUCAAUUCUGGCAAGUAGAGCUGCAGCUGUCUGGCGCCACUGUAAUGCUGUCUCCUCCUCUGAGUGAGUUCAUCCUGGAAACAUUUUCUCCCAUAAGACAUGCACAGGUCUUACGUUUACAUGUUUCACUGAAAGAAAUUUGAUUCCACUGCUGGGAUGACAAGGAAGACUGAAGAAACCUAAUCCUAGGUGCUGCCACUGGGACAAACAAGAAGCACCAGACACAGUGCUGUUUUAGGGUGGGGCAGAAUUAUGCUGAGGGAAAAGUUAUUAUCACUCUUUAAGGCCAAGGAAACCACAAUUUUUAAAGAAGCUUCUAGAAAUUCUACCCAGUAGAAAAUAAAGAUAAACUUCUGUAA
This 800-nucleotide long non-coding RNA is filed under the name Homo sapiens (human). Its description in RNAcentral is "long intergenic non-protein coding RNA 2532". The record is from RNAcentral. Lineage: Eukaryota; Metazoa; Chordata; Mammalia; Primates; Hominidae.